AAUCGAAAACGAGGCUGGCCUUCUACUCUUCUCUCGCAUACCAAAACGAACGCCGGUGUACAGCGCGCGUAAAAUACAUUUCGUUCUCCGGAAAAUAGAACGCCGCCAUUUUUAAACGUUUCUUUCCAUUUGCAAGAAUUUUGCAAGAUUAUUACAGAACGGAUUAAAGCGGAUUAUCAGUUAAUGAGGUGCGCAAAAAUUUUUUGUCUGAGAAAUUUAGCGCGCUAAAAUAUGUAGGCAGCUGGCGCGGUUUAUAUGGCGCGCUUUUUUUUUCUCGUAACAAAGAGCGCGUAGUAGUAUUGUAAAAUGAAAUGCAUUCCAUGCAUUUAUUUAAUGUAUGGGAAGUUGUGCUAAGAAUUGGUGUACGAUUAUAUGUAUAGUGGAAGACAGACAAGAAUCUUCGAUUUUAUCGAUUGACCUAGUUUCUCGCAUAGGUCUAGUAAUAGCGGGUUCUGUACGUCCACUGGGGUUUCUAGGUAAAUUUCGAACUGGGUCACUGAGACUGAUGAUUUGGAUAUACAAUCUUCUGCUGGAUACUCUAUAGGUCAAUUGCAAAAACUCAUUUCUCAUCUAUAUAACCUGAUUAUUAGAAGAAAUUCAACUUAAAAAGAGAUUGAAUAGUAUCAAGCAAAUAAAGAUCACAAUCAAAAGAAUCGAUGUUGAUGUACUGAAAAAUAUAGACAGAUUCAACACGCCGAUAUCCUUUAAUAGGAGAACGCUUUCAGAUGCCGGCCAAACAGUCCCGUAUGCUCUCUCCGGCCGUCGCUUGUAAUGCCGAUGACCAUCCUUUAAAGAACAUUGAUGACGAAAUGCCACCCACCUCCACUACUGAACAUUCCUAUGCCAUUCAACAAUGUUCUGGGGACAACGGUACUGGAGGAGGAACGGGCAACGGGCUAUUAACUAUUGGCGAUACAGAUGAAAUUGACGUUGUAAAUGAAACUACAACUCACACAUCUCAGCAACUGGUUGCUCGAUGGCAAAAUUCUCAGAAUUAUCAUCCAGCGACAGAUCAUGAUUAUGUUGCGUUUUCUCAAUUUUCAGCCGUUGUACAAAGCGAUAUUAUUUCAAGAAUUGAAGCUGUCCCAAACAUAAGAAUGACAAGAAAAAAGAAAGCUAAACCAGUCAUACCUCUAGAAACAGACUUUUCUACUGAAACUAUUAAGGCUUCUUCCGAAGAUACUGAAACUGACACAAUGUACGGACUUAAAGUUGAUAAUGAAACAAGCGCAGCACUUGGUUGGAAAGCUGUUGAUAAAAAGAAAAAACAAUCUAAAAAAUCUGACAAUGGGGGUAAUAGCGUGGGAACAAGCAGCAAUGAUAAGAAUUUUGUCAAAAUUCAGGGUGCAUAUCAGGAUGACUUUGUUUACUUCGCUCCGAAAAUUAGUGGGUCAAGAGCUAGGACUAGGUCUCGGACCGAAGCAGCGCAACCUACAAAUCAACAACCUAAUGUCUUAGAUUGGUAUAGGGACCUGGCUAACACUGAUAAAACUGCCAGGUUUGGAGGUGCCCCUUCUGAAGAGGAAGUCGUUGAUAUGGUCGCCAGCAUGCAAGAAGAACAAGCUAUUCAAUCUGAGGACUUGGAUAAAAUGGCUGAAAAUUUAACUUCAAUGCUGUGCUCUCUAAAUAAUGAAGAACUCGAGAAAGAGCUCGAACGCGUUGGUCUUCCCUCAAAAACAACAAAUCCAGAGGAGGAGGCUCCACAGUUAACAACAGUAACAAUGUACUACAACGACGUUCCAGGACUAAUGCUAGCCGGUGAACAAUAUGUUAGACUAGUGGACAUUCACAAACAAAUGCUACCUAGUAAGGAUACCGGUAUUUUGAAAAAGCGUGCACAACUUCUCUCACUUCCUCUUUUAAACUGUUCGGAUAUGCAGAGGAAUUUCUUACAGCGUUAUGCCAAUGCUGCAAGAUCUAAGUCAACUCUCGUUAUAUCCAAGCAAAAUGCAGUUAAGCUAAUAGCUUUCUAUGUGGAGCCUCGACAGCGAUCUGUUACAGACGAAAAUUCUACGACUGGAACAGACUCUCGAUCAGGAUCUCGCAAAAGACGAAAAACAGAUGAAAACGAAGACGACUUUGUAAGGGUUGUUACUACCCGUAACUCGACAAGGUCACGUGGUCAAUUGGGUAGAUUGUUUGUAUAUAAAAUGGAGAAGAAAGAUUCAUCUUGUGUACAGUGCGAAACUUGCGGUGAAACGUUAACAUUACGAAAAUUCGCUAAACACGUUCACCACCAACAUUCUGCAGACGAACUUUUGGACAUUUCUGUUCCUUUAAAGAUUGUUUUGGCCAAUGGUCAUCCUACUUCAGGGGAACUGGUGAAAUGGAAGAUAUUUGAAGAGAAAAGUAAGGAGCUAGAAACUAAAACUUCACCAUCACCAUUGCCACCGUCAUCAUCUCCCCCGUCUUCGCCGAGACAAUCGGCGAGAAACCGGAAACGAAAACAAUUGCAUCCGGUUGAAAGUUAUGUGUUCACGCCGACUAAACGAAGUCCGCCGAAAAGGGCUAGGUCUUCGCAGAGAACUGCUUAG
Molecule: unclassified non-coding RNA, 2534 nt
Filed under: Dimorphilus gyrociliatus
Lineage: Eukaryota; Metazoa; Annelida; Polychaeta; Dinophilidae
Description: dgyrCDS8517
Source: RNAcentral